CCUACGGGUGGCAGCAGUGAGGAAUAUUGGUCAAUGGGCGCAAGCCUGAACCAGCCAAGUCGCGUGAGGGAAGACGGCCCUACGGGUUGUAAACCUCUUUUGCCGGGGAGCAAGCCUGAGCACGUGUGCCCAGGCGGAGAGUACCCGGAGAAAAAGCAUCGGCUAACCCCUUCCAAGCAGCCGCGGUAAUACGGGGGAUGCGAGCUUUAUCCGGUUUUAUUGGGUUUAAGGGGUGCGCAGGCGGGCGGUUAAGCCGGCGGGAAAGAUUCAGGGCUCAACCCAGUCGAGCCGUCGGAACUGGCAGUCUUGAGUGGGCUAGAAGUAUGCGGAAUGCGUGGUGUAGCGGUGAAAUGCAUAGAUAUCACGCAGAACGCCGAUUGCGAAGGCAGCAUACCGGCGCCCAACUGACGCUGAGGCACGAAAGCGUGGGGAUCGAACAGGAUUAGAUACCCCUGUAGUC
RNAcentral lists this ribosomal RNA (460 nucleotides) under uncultured bacterium. Its description in RNAcentral is "partial 16S ribosomal RNA". It matches the Rfam family "Bacterial small subunit ribosomal RNA", at positions 338 to 795 of the family's 1533-position model. The record is from RNAcentral.